Molecule: non-coding RNA, 112 nt
Organism: Ktedonobacter racemifer DSM 44963
Lineage: Bacteria; Bacillati; Chloroflexota; Ktedonobacteria; Ktedonobacterales; Ktedonobacteraceae
Source: Rfam
CCAGCCUAGUAUCCGGGGCUGUCUCCAAUCUCUCUCUGCGACACUGGUAACGGUGAAGUGGAAAGCGAGAGGUAACGUCUAAGGGAGCUUCGAGCCGAACGAGGCAACCGGG